GCUAGUAAUGCUCAUUUCCUCACAGAAAAAGCUAAACACAGCGGCCUUACGUGUCAGAGAAAUAAAAAAGAAAUAACGUUACUGUCGGACUGAUACACGGGUAUUUAAUUCAUUAUAUUGAUAUGUUUUCUUAAAUGAUGGACGCCAUGAACUCGGUUGAUUUUCAAACACAGUUGACAUCCAUAAUGGAAACGAUGGCGAAAACAGCUGUAGCUGAAAUAAGCAAACUGCUGGAGGCGAAUUGUUUGUUUUUGCGCUUAGAGAUAUCGCGAUGCACGCGUGAAAACGACGCUCUGCUGCAGAAAUGUCAGGAUUUGGAGAUUGAACUUCAAGCCGCCCGGAAAAACGCCGUGAAGAUGGACAGCAAUGAAGCUUCAUUCACACAUUCAGAACUGACAGACGCUGGGCAUCAGCCUGUGGUUGACAGUGUGUUUGGUAAGGAAUGGUCCAUGAACAUGUGGCGACACGAGUCGAAUGUUGGUCAACAUGAGAAUGAACAUGUAGUCUCUUCAGUCAACACAACACAGUCAGCAAAUUUGCUACAUGAGAAACCAGACAUGGUCUUGAUUAAAGAGGAGAUGUUCGAAGAUUGCUAUGGGAGGAAUAAAACUGAAGAAGACCAAGGAAACAGUUUGAGAGAAAUGCUGGUUCAAGUGGAGUGUAAAGGAGACCCAAAAUGGAUCCGGAUCCCAGUGAAAAACGACUGCUAUGACUUCGACAAAUUCAUUAUAGAAGCCUCAAUGAAGUUUAACCUGCCACGUGGAACCAGUGUGGUCCUUAAGAACUCUGAAGGAUUUGAUGUUGAUGCUGAUGUUUUCGACGAAUUAGUGAGAACAACUAAUGCGUCUUUCAAAAUUCUGUGUAGUGAUAAAUCAGAUUAUGUUGUCCAAGAUGAGUCGGAGAUCUCUGUGUCCUCAUGCCCCGAGUUGUCCUCAUCAUCAGUGAAAUCAAAAUAUUCAGACUCUACAGCGAUUCCACAAUCUGUAAAGACACGCAAAAGACAACUGCUAGAGGAAAAUCCUGACUGUAAUGUGGCAAAAGAUCUGGUUUACGCAGCUCUGCACUCAAAACUAGGAGGAUUUGAUAUAUUGAAAGAGUAUGAGCAAACCAACACGCUGUCUGAUAAGACACGAAGAAAGCUGGUCAACAUCCUUGUGGCAGAUAUGGUAGAGAGUCAUGGGAGGAUCCCACCAGUUAAUAUCCGGAUAAGCUACGCUCUUGGAAUUAUUACUCUUUUCCCCCAUUUGAAGGAUAAGUGCUCACCAACUGGUUAUGAACAAUACUACGAUCCACGCAGUGGCCUGGGUUACCUUGCCUACCGAUUGAAAACUGUUCAGCGCAACUCUGGAAAUCACUGUAAGGUCGCAUCCAAGUUCGUUUAUCAAGAUGGUCCGAAGACUUUGCGUGAGAUAUCUUCAUCUGAGCAGCUGUCGGGUGAUGAAUGCACAGAAGCCAUAUCCCUAAUGAAGCGUUCUACGGACAAGACAGUUAUUAUGGAGAGAAUGAGAGCAACAUUCAAGUACAGACAGAAUGAGAUGCAUGAUCCAGAGAAGUCUUCAUCCAUCCUUGAAUACUUUCCUCGAUUCUUGGAUACACCAGGAUUGAUUGAUCAGGACUUUAAAAUGCUUUUUGGAGAUGAAAUCUCAAGCAACUUUGUUUCGAAUUGGCCAACGUUCUACAAGCCAAGGAUAAUAGCUAACUGCAGAAACAUGCCGUUUGGUGCACAUGUGGAUGAUCUUCUGUUUGGUCAACAGGAGUCUGACUAUGGAUGGGACAGUGACGUGGCAGCUAUUCUCUUGCUCGUUCAACUGUUACCUCCAACAGUAAAAACAAGGAAGUUAGGGAAAGUCAGUACGGCUCAAGCCGCUGGUCGUGUUGUCAAGUUCAUGAAGGUGGGGAUGAACAUAAAUGCGUUCCUCGAGCAAGUUGGAUCAACAAAGCCCUUCCUCCUCUGUGUCGGGGAGUCAAGGAGUAGCAUUCAGAAGUUUUAUGUCAUCGUGGACCAGAAAGCGAUUCCCUGCACGAUGAAGACGGCUUUUGCAGCGUUUGAUGAACUCUUUAAGGCACACUUUGUCUUUGCUGCAUCCUAUGAUGAGGCCUUGUACAACUUCUACACAUUUAUUCAAACAACCGUGUAUGGGAUUGAUGUGGGCACUGCCAAGGAAAGUCCGAGAGUCAAAGAAAUCCGAGUGAGAAUUCAGAACACUGAGCUUUGAAUGUGUUUCAGCUCCAAUGUUGACCUGCCACGUUUGCAGGGUACACCAGAAGUUACGUUUUACUUCAACAGAUGAAGUUUCAUGGUUUGUACCCAGACCCGAUGUGAGAAGCAAUGAGAGGUGUGCGGCCGAGAGCUCAGCAGAUUUUAUCACAUACACGAUACCCUCAGAUGACCAAGUACGAUCGGACAUACAGCAGAGACAAGCUGAAGAACAAGCUCUUGAUGCAAGACCUUUAUCACGUGGAGACGGUACAACAGAGCUUCAUUUCAACACUAGCCAGAACCAAACAUGUAAUAAAGAAGAGAAAAUGUUUGAAUGCGUAUUCUGUAGAAAAGCCUUCAACAAGUUAAGUUAUCUGAAAACACACAUGCGGACACACUCCGGAGAAAAACCUUUUGCCUGUACAGUCUGUGGCAGACGAUUUGCCCAGAAAACAUAUCUCCGAAUACACCAGCGCAUUCAUUCUGGUGAGAAGCCAUACACGUGCAUGGACUGUGGAAAGAGUUUUGCCCAAAAAAGCGCUCUUAACGUUCACCUCCGAAGUCACACUGGAGAAAAACCUUAUAGUUGUGUCGAAUGUGGUAAACGUUAUAAGUACAAACAGGAUUUUAAUACACACCAGUGUGUUAGACUAUUACAUUCUGAGGUGAAGGAUUUCUGAAUUCAAGACCUAAUGAUACUGUUAAAGACCCACUGAACCUUUAAAAUAAAUAUUUUUAAAGAUU
This is an RNA transcript of Triplophysa dalaica, 2944 nucleotides long. RefSeq lists it as uncharacterized. The transcript is spliced from 13 exons. The record is from RefSeq and is a predicted model, not a curated record. NCBI's taxonomy places the organism in Eukaryota, Metazoa, Chordata, Actinopteri, Cypriniformes, Nemacheilidae.